AGCAUACCGACGACCCGAAGAGGCUUGUUUUCACCCUCUGGGUGGASASGCUCCCAACUUAAUUGGCUCGGAUUUURUCCGUGCGUUUGCGAACUGACNCGGUARACCAACUUCCGUCCUUGAUUCCUACUUAGGAYGGAGGGGACGACGAUAACUGACCCCCGGGCCGAMGUGCCCUCGGGCACAAGGCUUGGGGCGCAACUUGCGUUCAAAGACUCGAUGGUUCACGGGAUUCUGCAAUUCUUACCUGUUAUAUCAUUUCUCUACGUUCUUCAUCGAUGCGAGAGCCGAGAUAUCUSUUGCCGAUGAUCAAUUUAGACUUUAGAUUUUACUGCUGAGAAUUGGCGAAAACCCCGACUCCGGGGAGCCGCGGAUGAGUAGCUGUUUAAUUGCAUGUUCCUUGACACUUUUCGUGCCUGGGUUUUGUUAUCUCC
Molecule: unclassified non-coding RNA, 434 nt
Filed under: Clypeola jonthlaspi
Lineage: Eukaryota; Viridiplantae; Streptophyta; Magnoliopsida; Brassicales; Brassicaceae
Description: sequence contains ITS1, 5.8S rRNA gene and ITS2
Source: RNAcentral